UUUCUCCUACGGGGCGCAGCAGUGAGGAAUAUUGGUCAAUGGUCGGGAGACUGAACCAGCCAAGCCGCGUGAGGGAUGAAGGUACAGAGUAUCGUAAACCUCUUUUGUCAGGGAACAAAGGCGGGGACGCGUCCCCGGAUGAGUGUACCUGAAGAAAAAGCAUCGGCUACCUCCGUGCCAGCAGCCGCGGUAAUACGGGGGAUGCGUGCGUUAUCCGGAUUUAUUGGGUUUAAAGGGUGCGCAGGCGGUCUGUUAAGUCAGCGGAUACAGCGCGGGGCUCAACC
This 284-nucleotide ribosomal RNA is filed under the name uncultured bacterium. Its description in RNAcentral is "partial 16S ribosomal RNA". It matches the Rfam family "Bacterial small subunit ribosomal RNA", at positions 333 to 614 of the family's 1533-position model. The record is from RNAcentral.